RNAcentral lists this ribosomal RNA (303 nucleotides) under uncultured bacterium. Its description in RNAcentral is "partial 16S ribosomal RNA". It matches the Rfam family "Bacterial small subunit ribosomal RNA", at positions 507 to 807 of the family's 1533-position model. The record is from RNAcentral.
AGCAGUCGCCACGGUAAUACGUAGGGUGCAAGCGUUAAUCGGAAUUACUGGGCGUAAAGCGUGCGCAGGCGGUUUGUUAAGACAGAUGUGAAAUCCCCGGGCUCAACCUGGGAACUGCAUUUGUGACUGGCAAGCUAGAGUCUGGCAGAGGGGGGUGGAAUUCCGCGUGUAGCAGUGAAAUGCGUAGAUAUGCGGAGGAACACCGAUGGCGAAGGCAGCCCCCUGGGCCAACACUGACGCUCAUGCACGAAAGCGUGGGGAGCAAACAGGAUUAGAUACCCCCGUAGUCCCUGUCUCUUAUAC